GCCAGACUCCUACGGGAGGCAGCAGUGGGGGAUAUUGCACAAUGGGGGGAACCCUGAUGCAGCGACGCCGCGUGGGUGAAGGAGCGUUUCGGCGCGUAAAGCCCUAUCGGCAGGGAAGAAGGAGGACGGUACCUGACUAAGAAGCCCCGGCUAACUACGUGCCAGCAGCCGCGGUAAUACGUAGGGGGCAAGCGUUAUCCGGAUUUACUGGGUGUAAAGGGGGCGCAGACGGCAGCGCAAGCCAGGAGUGAAAGCCCGGGGCCCAACCCCGGGACUGCUCUUGGAACUGCGCGGCUGGAGUGCAGGAGGGGCAGGCGGAAUUCCUGGUGUAGCGGUGAAAUGCGUAGAUAUCAGGAGGAACACCGGUGGCGAAGGCGGCCUGCUGGACUGCGACUGACGUUGAGGCCCGAAAACGUGGGGAGCAAACAGGAUUAGAUACCCCCGUAU
This 447-nucleotide ribosomal RNA is filed under the name uncultured bacterium. RNAcentral describes it as "partial 16S ribosomal RNA". It matches the Rfam family "Bacterial small subunit ribosomal RNA", at positions 330 to 793 of the family's 1533-position model. The record is from RNAcentral.